Pelobates cultripes (western spadefoot toad) is the source of this 211-nucleotide non-coding RNA. Lineage: Eukaryota; Metazoa; Chordata; Amphibia; Anura; Pelobatidae. The record is from the annotation of a GenBank genome assembly.
CAGUAUGUCUGUCAAUGUGUAUCUGUGUCGGUAUGUCUGUCAAUGUAUGUGUCUGCGUGUGUGUCAGUAUGUGUUUAUGUGUGUGUGUGUCAGUAUGUCUGUCAAUGUAUGUCAGUAUGUUUGUCAGUGUAUGUGUCUGUCUGUGUCAUUAUGUCUGUUAGUGUAUGUCCUUUUGUAUGUGUGUCAGUAUGUCUGUCAAUGUGUAUCUUUG